AACGAACGCUGGCGGCAGGCCUAACACAUGCAAGUCGAACGCUCGUAGCAAUACGGGAGUGGCGCACGGGUGAGUAACGCGUGGGCACCUACCCGGUGGUCCGGGAUAACCGCGGGAAACUGCGGCUAAUACCGAAUACGCCCUUAGGGGGAAAGAUUUAUCGCCAUCGGAUGGGCCCGCGUAGGAUUAGCUAGUUGGUGAGGUAACGGCUCACCAAGGCGACGAUCCUUAGCUGGUCUGAGAGGAUGAUCAGCCACACUGGGACUGAGACACGGCCCAGACUCCUACGGGAGGCAGCAGUGGGGAAUAUUGGACAAUGGGGGCAACCCUGAUCCAGCCAUGCCGCGUGAGUGAUGAAGGCCUCGGGUUGUAAGACUCUUUGGUCGGGACGAUGAUGACGGUACCCGCAGAAUAAGACCCGGCGUAACUUCGUGU
Molecule: ribosomal RNA, 435 nt
Filed under: uncultured bacterium
Lineage: Bacteria
Description: bacterial SSU rRNA
Rfam family: Bacterial small subunit ribosomal RNA
Source: RNAcentral